This 484-nucleotide ribosomal RNA is filed under the name uncultured bacterium. RNAcentral describes it as "partial 16S ribosomal RNA". It matches the Rfam family "Bacterial small subunit ribosomal RNA", at positions 30 to 507 of the family's 1533-position model. The record is from RNAcentral.
AUUGAACGCUGGCGGAAUGCUUUACACAUGCAAGUCGAACGGCAGCACGGGGGCAGCCCUGGUGGCGAGUGGCGAACGGGUGAGUAAUACAUCGGAACGUGCCCGGUCGUGGGGGAUAACGUAGCGAAAGUUACGCUAAUACCGCAUACGAUCUGAGGAUGAAAGCGGGUGACCUUCGGGCCUCGCGCGAUCGGAGCGGCCGAUGUCAGAUUAGGUAGUUGGUGGGGUAAAGGCCUACCAAUCCGACGAUCUGUAGCUGGUCUGAGAGGACGACCAGCCACACUGGGACUGAGACACGGCCCAGAGUCCUACGGGAGGCAGCAGUGGGGAAUUUUGGACAAUGGGCGCAAGCCUGAUCCAGCCAUUCCGCGUGCAGGACGAAGGCCUUCGGGUUGUAAACUGCUUUUGUACGGAACGAAAAGGCUCUGGCUAAUACCUGGGGCUCAUGACGGUACCGGAAGAAUAAGCACCGGCUAACUACGUG